GAGGGGUAACAGGGUAGCAAUACCGCUGACGACCGGCGCACGGGUGAGUAACACGUAUGUAACCUACCUAUAACUGGGGAAUAGCUCUCCGAAAGGAGAAUUAACACCGCAUAACAUCGCGAGACGGCAUCAUUUUGCGAUCAAACCUCCGGGGGUUAUAGAUGGACAUGCGCAGCAUUAGCUAGUUGGUGAGGUAACGGCUCACCAAGGCGACGAUGUUUAGGGGGUCUGAGAGGAUGAUCCCCCACACUGGUACUGAGACACGAACCAGACUCCUACGGGAGGCAGCAGUAAGGAAUAUUGGACAAUGGGGGCAACCCUGAUCCAGCCAUGCCGCGUGAAGGAUGAAGGCGCUAUGCGUCGUAAACUUCUUUUGUUCGGGAAAAAUUGUUGGGUUUCCACCUGACUUGAUUGUACCGAAAGAAUAAGGAUCGGCUAACUUCGUG
Molecule: ribosomal RNA, 446 nt
Filed under: uncultured bacterium
Lineage: Bacteria
Description: bacterial SSU rRNA
Rfam family: Bacterial small subunit ribosomal RNA
Source: RNAcentral